RNAcentral lists this ribosomal RNA (411 nucleotides) under uncultured bacterium. Its description in RNAcentral is "bacterial SSU rRNA". It matches the Rfam family "Bacterial small subunit ribosomal RNA", at positions 86 to 493 of the family's 1533-position model. The record is from RNAcentral.
GGGUGGCGAGUGGCGGACGGGUGAGUAAUGCAUCGGGAUCUACCCAGACGUGGGGGAUAACCUAGGGAAACCGGGGCUAAUACCGCAUACGUCCUACGGGAGAAAGCGGGGGACCUUCGGGCCUCGCGCGGCAGGAUGAACCGAUGUGCGAUUAGCUAGUUGGCGGGGUAAUGGCCCACCAAGGCGACGAUCGAUAGCUGGUCUGAGAGGAUGAUCAGCCACACUGGGACUGAGACACGGCCCAGACUCCUACGGGAGGCAGCAGUGGGGAAUAUUGGACAAUGGGCGCAAGCCUGAUCCAGCAAUGCCGCGUGUGUGAAGAAGGCCUUCGGGUUGUAAAGCACUUUUAUCAGGAGCGAAAUACCACGGGUUAAUACCCUAUGGGGCUGACGGUACCUGAGGAAUAAGCAC